This 676-nucleotide long non-coding RNA is filed under the name Linum usitatissimum (flax). RNAcentral's name for it is "long non-coding RNA (LUSI_LNC004535)". The record is from RNAcentral. Lineage: Eukaryota; Viridiplantae; Streptophyta; Magnoliopsida; Malpighiales; Linaceae.
UUGAUACACAAACACAAUUCAUUAACAUUACCCCAUCUUCUUUAACAAAUUGCACAUUCCACCUCCACAUCAUCUUUACUUCCCAUCUGAUUCUUUCCAUAAUAUCUAUGGCUCGUUGUCCUUACAAUCAUUCAUUACCAUCACCAGCUCUCUCCACCUAAGGAAGCAAUGUCCACGUCUCAAGGGAAGCACGAGAAGGACGAGUUGAUUAAGAGGCAGAAUAAGGAUAUGGAAAAGUGGGGUAAUGAGGUCAGUGAGAUUAAGAAAGUUGUAAAGGAGAAGGAGAUUGUCGAUUUGAAGUCGAAGCUGGGGGGCUAGCAGUGGUGCCAAUUCAGAUGAAUUGAAGAAGUUGAGGGAUGACGUGGCUACUAAAGAUGGGCAGAUCUCUUUCUCAAGCCUUGAUCAACUGAAUUAACUAAAUUAGUUGCUUGAUUAUGAUAAUGAUGCUCUCUGAUCUUUGUGCUGUAUCGAUGUUUUUGUAUUCUCGUCUCCCUAAUUAAUUAAUUUCAGUUUCCGGUUAUAUCUUACAAACUUUUUUUGAAAACAAAUGAAAAACCAGCAUUAAUUUUACUUUCUUUUGGAAUAAUUGUGAACCGUCGAUAUCAUAAAUUGAAAAUGGACGUUGGUGAUGAAUUUACGUUACAAAAAAAAACCAAUGCUAUAUACAAUCCGUCUU